GAAAAGGGGGCAAAGGGAAUAAGAGGGAAGAGGGGUAAUGCUGGCUUUCCUGGAUUUGUUGGAACUUCGGGUGACCAAGGCCCACCAGGACAAAUGCCUUGCAAAAUUGUUGAUUUCACACGUGAAAACUGCCAAAUAAAGUGGAUUGACAGCAUGCCAUCUCAGCAAUGAAGAGAAGCUCCACUGAGCAAUACUGUGCCCCAGGAGAUGUCAUAACUGCACGCCUGUGUGCCUACGUCUUGCUGCUUCUUAUCACAAAACAGAGGAGUUUGUUCAAGAGGUACUUCCAAAUGCCCAGCAUUCCCAACCGAAUUGGCCUUUGCCUUGGACAUGUCAAAUGAUGUCUCCCCAUUGGAUUUUGAGAGGAUGAGAGACAUUUUAUUGUCUCUGUUGAUGAAGAUGGAAAUAAGUGACAGUAACUGCCCAACAGGUGCCCAUGUGGCCAUUGUUUCCUACAAUGCCAAAACCAAUUACUUGGUUCGUUUCUCAGACUACAAGAGG
This 501-nucleotide small RNA is filed under the name Pongo abelii (Sumatran orangutan). RNAcentral describes it as "processed transcript". The record is from RNAcentral. Lineage: Eukaryota; Metazoa; Chordata; Mammalia; Primates; Hominidae.